GGAGCGUAGAGCAAAUAUUGGUUCGUUGCGCUUACCUGCUAAGUAAGUUUACCGUUUUGGUAAUGAAGGUUCAAUUCCUUUGCUCUCCGC
RNAcentral lists this transfer RNA (90 nucleotides) under Hyunsoonleella pacifica. RNAcentral describes it as "tRNA-Ser". It matches the Rfam family "tRNA". From Rfam's summary of the family: Transfer RNA (tRNA) molecules are approximately 80 nucleotides in length. Their secondary structure includes four short double-helical elements and three loops (D, anti-codon, and T loops). Further hydrogen bonds mediate the characteristic L-shaped molecular structure. tRNAs have two regions of fundamental functional importance: the anti-codon, which is responsible for specific mRNA codon recognition, and the 3' end, to which the tRNAs corresponding amino acid is attached (by aminoacyl-tRNA synthetases). tRNAs cope with the degeneracy of the genetic code in two manners: having more than one tRNA (with a specific anti-codon) for a particular amino acid; and 'wobble' base-pairing, i.e. permitting non-standard base-pairing at the 3rd anti-codon position. Lineage: Bacteria; Pseudomonadati; Bacteroidota; Flavobacteriia; Flavobacteriales; Flavobacteriaceae. The record is from RNAcentral.